Alosa sapidissima (American shad) is the source of this 109-nucleotide long non-coding RNA. RefSeq lists it as uncharacterized. The record is from RefSeq and is a predicted model, not a curated record. NCBI's taxonomy places the organism in Eukaryota, Metazoa, Chordata, Actinopteri, Clupeiformes, Clupeidae. The transcript is spliced from 3 exons.
ACUCAGCACACAGGCCUGGGGAGAGUGGUGUGUGUAGAGGGGGAAGAGCAAGGGACUCAGCACACAGCCCUGGGGGGAGCCGGUACUGAGGCUUAGGGCCAUGGAUGUG